UACAAUUUUCCAAAAAGUGAAAGGUUUACCGAAAAUCAGUAUGAAACAAAAUGUCGAUUUUUCUUUCCAUGAUGGCAUCGUUUAGCAAUUUAUAUCUCUUGUUGAGUUUUCUGAUGUGGAUCCCGUUCGGUGGAAGUCUCGAAGGACAAAAUGUUUGUAAAAGAGUUAUAGUGGCAACAGAUGCAAACAAUAGAGUUGUAUAUCUCCGUGAAUUUUUCUGUUGUACUGGAUAUAAAAAAGAAAAUAACAGAUGUGUUGAGAUUACAGAAUCUAUCC
Molecule: long non-coding RNA, 276 nt
Organism: Mytilus trossulus (common blue mussel)
Lineage: Eukaryota; Metazoa; Mollusca; Bivalvia; Mytilida; Mytilidae
Exons: 3
Source: RefSeq, a predicted model, not a curated record